GAUGAACGCUGGCGGCGUGCCUAAUACAUGCAAGUCGAGCGAACAGAUAAGGAGCUUGCUCCUUUGACGUUAGCGGCGGACGGGUGAGUAACACGUGGGUAACCUACCUAUAAGACUGGAAUAACUCCGGGAAACCGGGGCUAAUGCCGGAUAAUAUUUAGAGCCGCAUGGUUCUAAAGUGAAAGAUGGUUUUACUAUCACUUAUAGAUGGACCCGCGCCGUAUUAGCUAGUUGGUGGGGUAAUGGCUUACCAAGGCAACGAUACGUAGCCGACCUGAGAGGGUGAUCGGCCACACUGGAACUGAGACACGGUCCAGACUCCUACGGGAGGCAGCAGUAGGGAAUCUUCCGCAAUGGGCGAAAGCCUGACGGAGCAACGCCGCGUGAGUGAUGAAGGUCUUCGGAUCGUAAAACUCUGUUAUUAGGGAAGAACAAAUGUGUAAGUAACUGUGCACGUCUUGACGGUACCUAAUCAGAAAGCCACGGCUAACUACGUGCCAGCAGCCGCGGUAAUACG
Molecule: ribosomal RNA, 517 nt
Filed under: uncultured bacterium
Lineage: Bacteria
Description: bacterial SSU rRNA
Rfam family: Bacterial small subunit ribosomal RNA
Source: RNAcentral